AAGUGGUCAAGUUGGGUACUUAGGAACAAUUUCUUCACUGGAAGGGUGGUCAGGCAUUGGAACAGGCUGCCCAGGGAGUGGUGGAAUCACCGUCCCUGGAAGUGUUCAAAACCCAUGUAGACAAAACCCUCAGUGACAUGGUUUAGUGGUGGUUUGGGCAGUGCUGGGGAAUGGUUGGACUUUGCGAUCUUAAAGGUCUUUUCCAACCUAAACAAUUCUGUGAUACUUGACAGGGUGCUGGGAUGAAACAGCCUGGGCAGGAGGAGGCAUGGGGAAUGCAAGGAGGUGGUGCACUGACUUCUUGACAUCUCUUUUUCCCUGCAGAGAUGAUGAGCAGGACCUGCCUUGUGAGCUGUCAUGUCCAGGAACCACUCUGAGCCCUCAGGAGCAGGUUGAGGACAAAGCUGCUUGCAGUGAGUUUGCUUUCUGCUUGCCUGCCAAGUCAUUCCUAGCAGACAACUUUGUUGGUUUUCCUUUUGCUGCUGUUUCUCUUCUCCCCCUGCCUUUAUUCUAGACCCUUGCUGGCUGUUCUGCUAAUUUUCCUGUCUGUAUUGCUUUCUCUUAUGUGGCUGCUCACUUGAGCUGGUGCCAUCUCAUUGGGUGCAGUACCUUUAUUUUUUGUCAUCAUUACGGUUAUUUCUCAUAUCUCUGCUCCAUUCUCCAAAGGUUUUGGCCUUUGUAAGGAUGUCUAAGGUGCUGUUUAUUUUAGCUCUUCAGCGUACUGUAAUUCAAGUUGAUGGUUAGCAUUGUAAUAAGGAAAAAAGAACCCUGUUCUUUUGUGUGUUACCUCUUUAAAUCAGUGUUCAGCUUAAUCUGAGCACUUGUGAAAAGUUGUUUCCAGUGUAUGUAAUAUGUAUUUACAAGUGUACCUGGGUAGAUCCAGUUUAAAUCCCGUGUGACUGGAGGCUGGACAGAAGAACAACAUCAAAAUCUGAAAAGUUGUUAAAAGGAGGGAGGAGAGGGACAUGCCAAUAUAUUGCAUUCUUGGAAGGAAAUUGGCUAUUAUGUGAGAGAAAAGACCUGUUCUGCUUCCUUUUGAAAGGUAUCUGGUGACUCAUCUCUCUUUAAAAACCGCUAUCACAAAACCCUGAGUUAUGCAACUAAUGUAUAAUUAGGUUUUUAGUAAGUCUGUGGUAUUCACAACAAAAUGUAAAGGCAAGCUUUUGUGCAGUAAAGGUAAGGAUUUGGAUUUGUCUUUUUUCUUGCUUGGAAACGCCCUGGCCAGAACUGGCUUUCUGUCGCUUUUCAUAAAUAGACCCUUCAUACUUAAGGUUUCUUCACUAUCUAUGUAUGGCAGGAGAGUUUUCUAGUGGUGGUGUGGUGGGGCUGAACACCACUGUGGUGCACAGGCUUACAUGUGCCAAAGGAGAGCAUUCUCCUUAUGGAGCUGACGCUGCCUGAAUUGCCUUAUGAGAUCAUAAUAAUGGUAACAGUAAAGGAUGGAUCAAGAGGGCAUCCUUGGAGUGAAGGAAGAUAAACAGUGUGCUAGAAUGUAGAGUUUAGAUUUGUUUUACAAGGGUCGAUCUGUUUGGAAAAAUAAGUGAUAGAUAUGUAUGCUGCUUUCUAUAUCUGUUGGAACAGUGGUGUAUGUAUUAUUUAAGAGAAAUGAUUAUAACUGGAGUUGUUUGCACCAAUUAAGUAGUCUGCUCUGCCUACAACUAAAUCAACACCCAGUAUUUUUCUGUUUCUUCCCCAGCAGAUUCCUUAUAGUGAGCUGUCAUGGAGGAUCCCAUUACAGGUCUUGUUUGUUCCUUUUGUGGCAGCCUUUGGGAAUGCCUCACAUCCCACCAAGAAGAAACUCGGGGUGAUAAAAAUAUAGUUUUACCAACAACCAGUCUGAAAGAAAAGGUUUCCUCCUCCUGUGACAAGUGUGCUGGGGAGAACAAUCAUCUGGCAUGUUUGCAGGCACAACAUACUUCAAUGUUGAAGUAGGUUCUAUUGAUGCACAAGAAAUAAUCGCUUCCAGUCCUUCUCUCACAGCCCUAAUGCUGCUUUUCUACUCUGAAAAGAGACCAGCUGACUGAGGAAAGCACUGUUCCCUUCAGCAGAAAAAGGAUUUGGGAUUCAUGCUUGUCUCAGAAAGAGGCAGACUCUGGCAGAAAGGAUUUGUUUGUGGCUGGCAAGCUGGGUGAAGAUGAAAGUCCUGGAAAAGUCCCCUUCAUGACUGACUUCUGCAAGGGGACCUCCUUUUAAUUCCUGGCCUGCAAGAUCACAGGGCUGAAGUGCUGCUACCAUGUUCGUGAAGCUGGAGCCCUGUCAUGUGAGUGUACCAGACACUAAAUAGGAGUGAGUAGCUACAGCCCUUUUUUCCCCCAAAAGCAAGCCAACUGUUUUUUCUCACUGCCUUGGAAGAUAAACCCAGUUUCCAUAUUUCCAUGUUGUCAGCUGGAUUUCAGGUUCUACUCCUCAUCAUAAAGUUGUCAAGGAUCGUUAAUAGUAGUGAUAAGUGAAGACGGGGCAAAUAUAAUAGGGGGGAGUAUGUAAUUCUUUUAGCCC
Long non-coding RNA from Pezoporus occidentalis (night parrot), 2496 nucleotides. RefSeq lists it as uncharacterized. The record is from RefSeq and is a predicted model, not a curated record. The transcript has 3 exons. NCBI's taxonomy places the organism in Eukaryota, Metazoa, Chordata, Aves, Psittaciformes, Psittacidae.